Molecule: long non-coding RNA, 346 nt
Filed under: Homo sapiens (human)
Lineage: Eukaryota; Metazoa; Chordata; Mammalia; Primates; Hominidae
Description: HSALNT0164711
Source: RNAcentral
CUUUGACCAGAACUGCAACAUUUCAAACACAAACCCAGAUCUGUUGGGAAAUCCUAAUUAAAAACGUUGCAUUCCCAGGUGGCACAAUCACAUCCUGCCUAAAACUUCUGGCCCACAUCCCACCACCCAGAUGUUGAAAAGAAACCUUUCUCUGCUUAACACCAAAACCUGACAGGAAUUGAAGAAGAGACUAUAUGCUGGUGCUCUGAAAUGAUCUACCCAACUCUGUCAUCUGUAACAACCAGUGAUAACUCUCUUGUCUUGUAAAAAGGGUUUGUACAUAACUUGUACAUGGUUUCAUUUUGUAUUUUUCGCAGAUUAAAAAUUUAUGUAUUUGUGUUCUAAA